UACGGGGGGGGCAAGCGUUGUUCGGAAUUACUGGGCGUAAAGGGCUCGUAGGCGGCCAACUAAGUCAAACGUGAAAUCCCUCGGCUUAACCGGGGAACUGCGCUUGAUACUGGAUGGCUUGAGAUUGGGAGAGGGAUGCGGAAUUCCAGGUGUAGCGGUGAAAUGCGUAGAUAUCUGGAGGAACACCGGUGGCGAAGGCGGCAUCCUGGACCAACACUGACACUGAGGAGCGAAAGCCAGGGGAGCAAACGGG
This 253-nucleotide ribosomal RNA is filed under the name uncultured bacterium. RNAcentral describes it as "partial 16S ribosomal RNA". It matches the Rfam family "Bacterial small subunit ribosomal RNA", at positions 524 to 776 of the family's 1533-position model. The record is from RNAcentral.